GAUGAACGCUGGCGGCGUGCCUAAUACAUGCAAGUCGAGCGAACAGACGAGGAGCUUGCUCCUCUGACGUUAGCGGCGGACGGGUGAGUAACACGUGGAUAACCUACCUAUAAGACUGGGAUAACUUCGGGAAACCGGAGCUGAUACCGGAUAACAUGUUGAACCGCAUGGUUCAACAGUGAAAGACGGUCUUGCUGUCACUUAUAGAUGGAUCCGCGCCGCAUUAGCUAGUUGGUAAGGUAACGGCUUACCAAGGCAACGAUGCGUAGCCGACCUGAGAGGGUGAUCGGCCACACUGGAACUGAGACACGGUCCAGACUCCUACGGGAGGCAGCAGUAGGGAAUCUUCCGCAAUGGGCGAAAGCCUGACGGAGCAACGCCGCGUGAGUGAAGAAGGUCUUCGGAUCGUAAAACUCUGUUAUUAGGGAAGAACAAAUGUGUAAGUAACUAUGCACGUCUUGACGGUACCUAAUCAGAAAGCCACGGCUAACUACGUG
This 497-nucleotide ribosomal RNA is filed under the name uncultured bacterium. Its description in RNAcentral is "partial 16S ribosomal RNA". It matches the Rfam family "Bacterial small subunit ribosomal RNA", at positions 28 to 507 of the family's 1533-position model. The record is from RNAcentral.